Long non-coding RNA from Cyprinus carpio carpio, 957 nucleotides. NCBI's taxonomy places the organism in Eukaryota, Metazoa, Chordata, Actinopteri, Cypriniformes, Cyprinidae. The record is from Ensembl.
AACUGUGACAGUUUGUCCUUUCCUGGGUAUGUUAUUUUCUUCAUACCCAGUGAAAGAGAUUAAGUUUUCUUGAAGGACAUUUGACCCUUUCUAUGGUUGGAGGACUUUUUAAAUUUACAUCUUCUAAGACUGAAAACAAGACAUGCUAGAUGUCAUUUUAAACUCUUUUGUGGUAAAGUACCUAUAAGUGACACUCAGAUGUAAUCCCCUUGUGAGGAAUGUCAAAGUAAGUGCGGUCUCUCAGACUCUAGAGACUUAAAUACCAUUCCAGGAGCUUUUGAUCAGACUUGUGACCUGCAAACAACAACUUCCUGUGUGAGAUUAUACCAUUUACCUCGCAAUCACAUCAUCACAAGGGCAAAUUACCAACUACACUUUUUCCUUUACUUACUUUUUGUCUCGCCAUACUUGGCUUGGAUAGUCGCCAUAUAAACAAGCCAACUAACCAUGUCAUGAUUAGAAAAGGCCAUGUGGUUUCAUUACCUGGAUGAAUAAAGGUCACCCCACUGUGCUGUGUAGAGAAACUAAAGCCUCCUCCAGCCAUCUGGAAUUUACUGUUCCCAUCAUAAACUGCUGUAAUUGGACCCUGGGUUGUGGUACCAGACCCAGGAAACAUAACAAAAGGGGCUCUGUUGCAUAUCUGCCCUGAAGCCCAGCUCUCCCCUGAGGUCUGCCUGACCAUCGAUCGCAAGCUACAUGACAAACAAGCAGAAUGAGCUGCCCAGCAAGCAGGACCACUUUAAACAGGAGUCAUUCUGUGCCUGUCAAUUACCCACACUUACUGUUACGAACUCAUUCGUUUUCAAGGUCCCCACCAACUGUGCAUGAGCAAUGUUCAAUAAUGCUUCUGUAACUGUUUACACUUAAAAGAAUGUUUUACACUGUUUACCUUAAAAAAUUAGUUUAAAGCAAAUCGUGUUUGCUAGAUUCUUUAUGGUUACAGUGAUGGAACUGGUC